This 570-nucleotide ribosomal RNA is filed under the name uncultured soil bacterium. RNAcentral's name for it is "bacterial SSU rRNA". It matches the Rfam family "Bacterial small subunit ribosomal RNA", at positions 102 to 659 of the family's 1533-position model. The record is from RNAcentral.
ACGGGUGAGUAACACGUGGGCAACCUGCCCGACAGACCGGGAUAACGCUUGGAAACGAGUGCUAAUACCGGAUACACUCUUGAAUCGCAUGAUUCGAGAGGGAAAGCUGCUUUUGCAGCACUGUCGGAUGGGCCCGCGGCGCAUUAGCUAGUUGGUGAGGUAACGGCUCACCAAGGCGACGAUGCGUAGCCGACCUGAGAGGGUGACCGGCCACACUGGGACUGAGACACGGCCCAGACUCCUACGGGAGGCAGCAGUAGGGAAUCUUCCGCAAUGGGCGCAAGCCUGACGGAGCAACGCCGCGUGAGUGAUGAAGGCCUUCGGGUUGUAAAACUCUGUCUUCUGUGAAGAACAAGCCUAUGAACAGAACGCUUAGGCCCUGACGGUAACAGAGGAGGAAGCCCCGGCUAACUACGUGCCAGCAGCCGCGGUAAUACGUAGGGGGCAAGCGUUGUCCGGAAUCACUGGGCGUAAAGCGCGCGCAGGCGGCUGUCUACGUCCGGGGUGAAAGCCCAGAGCUCAACUCUGGGAUUGCCUUGGAUACGGGAUGGCUUGAGGAUCGGAGAGGCA